RNAcentral lists this ribosomal RNA (494 nucleotides) under uncultured bacterium. RNAcentral describes it as "partial 16S ribosomal RNA". It matches the Rfam family "Bacterial small subunit ribosomal RNA", at positions 29 to 505 of the family's 1533-position model. The record is from RNAcentral.
ACGAACGCUGGCGGCGUGCCUAAUACAUGCCAGUAGAACGCUGAAGCUUGGUGCUUGCACCGAGCGGAUGAGUUGCGAACGGGUGAGUAACGCGUAGGUAACCUGCCUGGUAGCGGGGGAUAACUAUUGGAAACGAUAGCUAAUACCGCAUAAGAGUAGAUGUUGCAUGACAUUUGCUUAAAAGGUGCAAUUGCAUCACUACCAGAUGGACCUGCGUUGUAUUAGCUAGUUGGUGAGGUAACGGCUCACCAAGGCAACGAUACAUAGCCGACCUGAGAGGGUGAUCGGCCACACUGGGACUGAGACACGGCCCAGACUCCUACGGGAGGCAGCAGUAGGGAAUCUUCGGCAAUGGACGGAAGUCUGACCGAGCAACGCCGCGUGAGUGAAGAAGGUUUUCGGAUCGUAAAGCUCUGCUGUAAGAGAAGAACGAGUGUGAGAGUGGAAAGUUCACACUGUGACGGUAUCUUACCAGAAAGGGACGGCUAACUACG